CAAAACUGACAGCUGUAUGAAACUGGACAAGUACACGUGACUGCUGGAAGAUGGAAUGCAAGUUGCCGGGAUUGUUGACAUUUUUACUCGUUGUUCGGGAAUGUUUUUGUAGUAGCGAUUUAUAUACCGAUAACUCCAUUAAGUAUGACGAAGAAGGAUUUAGAAAGAAUAUAGGAAAUUCUGUACAUUUUGUUAAAUUUUACGCCCCUUGGUGUGGCCAUUGUAAGCGACUUGCACCAAUUUGGGAUGAAUUGGCAGAGAAAUACAACAGACCCGGAGAAGAGAAGCUUGUUAUUGCUAAAGUUGAUUGCACAAUGGAAACUGCUCUCUGUUCAGAACAAGGAGUCACUGGUUAUCCCACACUAAAAUUUUUCAAGAAAGGUACAAUCGAAGGACAUAAGUACAGAGGUCCACGAGAUAUUGCUUCUCUAGAAGCUUUUAUCGCUAACAGUCUGGGAAAAGAAAACAUCAUUGAAAAGACUCCCGAACCUCCAAAGCCGAUCAACGAUGUCAUUCAACUCACUGAUGACACCUUUCACAAAUUCAUCGAGAGGGGAACUCACUUUGUCAAAUUCUAUGCCCCGUGGUGCGGACACUGUCAGAAACUGAUUCCCAUUUGGAAAGAGUUGGCAAACAGCUUAAAAUUUGAUGGAUCUAUAAAGAUAUCUGAGAUUGACUGUACGGCCCACCAUACGGCCUGUGGUGAAUUCGAAGUCAAAGCCUAUCCCACAUUGCUAUGGAUUGUUGAUGGAAAAAAGGUAGAAAAAUAUGAAGGAUCCAGAACACAUGAAGAUCUGAAACUUUACGUCAGCAAGAUGAAAGAACAGGAAUUUGGAAACAAUAAAGACAGUGUAGAAGGAGCAAUUCCAGAGAGUGUUUCCAGACCAGAAAUGGCAAUUAUACAGCUAACAGAAAAUGAUUUUGAAGAGACGAUAGAAACGGGAGUGACUUUCGUCAAGUUCUUUGCUCCCUGGUGUGGACACUGUCGCAAUUUGGAGCCAACGUGGAACCAUCUCGGACAGAAGUUCUCAAUGAAUGACAGAAUCAAGAUUGCUAAAGUUGACUGCACAUUACAUGAAAAUUUAUGCAGUAAACAUAAGGUCGAUGGAUAUCCCACUCUCCUCCUCUUCAGAAACGGCGAGAGGAUGGCAGAAUACAAGGGAAACAGAGAAUUGCCUUCACUGCACGAUUUUGUGCUGGACCAUCUACCUCACGAUGAACUCUAAGCAUUUCAUCUUCCCACAUUGAUGAAAUUCCCUAAUUAUAAUUGCAUUAUCUGAAGAAAAUCUACACUUCCUAAAUACUGUUUUGGUUUUAAAUUUCUAAAGUUAAAUUUAAAAAUAUCUUGGAAUCAGGUCCAGAUUUAAAUUAAAUAUCUCAUCAUUUCUUAUGUUUAAUCUGUCAGAAAGACAGAAUAUUCAUAUUCUGCAUUGUAGUUAUCAAAUUCAAAAAUUAAUUAUAUAAUUUUGAUAACUGUGAGAUGUGGAUUUAUAAGAUUGCUUUGCAAGGUAGGAUGUUACCUUUAUACAGUAUGAAUCUCUCAUCUACACAACAUUUAAACAAUUUAGCACAUGAGAUAAAUUUAUUAGCAUAAAUUUUCAAAAACUGUUUGAUGCUCAUCCAGUUACUGCAUAUCGAAUGCCAUGUCUCGGACACUUAUUGGCCAAGACAUCACAUUCGUACAUCUCUCGAGCGUGUCUUUAUAUUGUUUUGUGGUGAGCAAUUCUGAGUAUCAAAGCAAAUUUUUUUUGUUCCAUGAUUUUUUAAACAGCUUUCAGAAUGUAGUACACAUCUGCAACAUUAUUUUGUAUUGAAAUUUAAGAACAAAUGCACUACCAUAUCAGAUUUGUAGAACCAUAGAAUAUUCCAUAAUGCCAGAUUUCAAAUGUUAUAAUUAUAUAAUGUACCGAGGAUAGACUUACCUAGAAAUAGAUGUUUGGUUAAUAUUUAUAAUGAUAAAACUAUCGCCCAUUGACGGUCAGGAGUUUAACAAAUGCAUUUACCCCAAUGAAUGAAUAAUUAUAAGUUUUGUCGUCACUUGUUCAUACACAAUGUUAAUUAUGGAGUUGUAAAAAAAAAUGUAUUUUUAUAAAUAAAGCUGAUGACAUAUUGUGUAUUGGGUAA
RNAcentral lists this unclassified non-coding RNA (2124 nucleotides) under Centruroides sculpturatus (bark scorpion). RNAcentral's name for it is "thioredoxin domain-containing protein 5-like, transcript variant X1". The record is from RNAcentral. Lineage: Eukaryota; Metazoa; Arthropoda; Arachnida; Scorpiones; Buthidae.